UUCCUACGGGGCGCAGCAGUGGGGAAUAUUGGGCAAUGGGCGCAAGCCUGACCCAGCAACGCCGCGUGAAGGAAGAAGGCUUUCGGGUUGUAAACUUCUUUUAUGAGGGACGAAAGAAAUGACGGUACCUCAUGAAUAAGCCACGGCUAACUACGUGCCAGCAGCCGCGGUAAUACGUAGGUGGCAAGCGUUAUCCGGAUUUACUGGGUGUAAAGGGCGUGUAGGCGGGCCUGCAAGUCAGAAGUGAAAUCUGGGGGCUUAACCCCCAAACUGCUUUUGAAACUGUGGGUCUUGAGGGAUGGAGA
Molecule: ribosomal RNA, 305 nt
Filed under: uncultured bacterium
Lineage: Bacteria
Description: bacterial SSU rRNA
Rfam family: Bacterial small subunit ribosomal RNA
Source: RNAcentral